This 292-nucleotide ribosomal RNA is filed under the name uncultured bacterium. RNAcentral's name for it is "partial 16S ribosomal RNA". It matches the Rfam family "Bacterial small subunit ribosomal RNA", at positions 505 to 796 of the family's 1533-position model. The record is from RNAcentral.
GUUUCAGCAGCCGCGGUAAUACAGAGGUCCCGAGCGUUGUUCGGAUUCACUGGGCGUAAAGGGUGCGUAGGUGGCUUGGUAAGUUUGAUGUGAAAGCUCAGGGCUCAACCCUGAAAUGGCAUUGAAUACUACUGAGCUGGAGGUUUGGAGGGGGGACUGGAAUUCUCGGUGUAGCAGUGAAAUGCGUAGAUAUCGAGAGGAACACCAGUGGCGAAGGCGAGUCCCUGGACAACACCUGACACUGAGGCACGAAAGCUAGGGGAGCAAACAGGAUUAGAUACCCGCGUAGUCC